This 1057-nucleotide long non-coding RNA is filed under the name Triticum aestivum (bread wheat). RNAcentral's name for it is "long non-coding RNA (TAES_LNC012516)". The record is from RNAcentral. Lineage: Eukaryota; Viridiplantae; Streptophyta; Magnoliopsida; Poales; Poaceae.
GCUGCUGUCAUUUUUUUAUCAAGGACGCCACUGUCCAAGUCGUUCUUCUGCCUUGGUUAGUGGUGCUUCUCUUCCAUUCCACAUACGAACACCCAUGGAGAAGCUCAUUUAUAAAACAUCCAUCUAUGAAUGAAUUUCUCAAAUAUUACCAUCUGCAAUGGACAUGAUAAUGGUAGAACACUUGUGAUGAUGGACAUAUGUUUAAGGUUUUAUUUUCCCGUUGCAACGCACGGGCAUCACACCAAGGAUUUUUGUUAAGUUCACUUUACUUGGUAUAUGAACUAAUCCUGAAUGGAAAAUAGUUUGUGCUGCUAUCAUCGAUAGAUUAUAAUAAACAUUGCUAGCUUCUUGUGUGUAGGCUUGUUCUGUGCUAGACUACCAAAAUAUGUUUUGCUUCGAUAAUUCUUAUUUAUGUACUAACAAUGUUCUGGGUCCAUGUUCACAUUGAAGCUUAUAGAUCACAAUCCUAAAAUCCUUCAUAGACAUACAUGUUUUCAUUCUAAGCCAUUAUAUAGUUCUUUGUUUUGGAAAUUGUCUAGCCUGACAUUUUUCAGAAUUUGUACAAGUCUUUUAACAAAUUUUGGUAUCCUUUGGACAGGAAGCUUUAGAAUGCUGGUGGCUGAUGGGGAUUAUAAGAACUUAAAUGCCAGAGAAGUCGUAUUGUAUCAGGACUUAAGCUAAUCGUCCAGAAACCUAAUUCAGGGCAUCGUCCAGACACCCUACAGGGGUGAUGUUGGGUGUCUGGACGAUGCCCUGAGGACCUUCUGACCGAGCUUGGCAUCCUGUAGGCAUCACUCUCCCCGAGGCUACCACACCUUGCUGGCGUGCGGUCCAUCAUGGUGGCAGUGGAUGGGCUCUGGGCGGUCAUCAUGGCGGAGAUGAGGCGGAUCUUACGCAAUAUUGUACGUGUUGUCACGGGGUUGUACGUGAUGCGAUCCCGUUGCAACGCACGGGCACUUUUGCUAUAUAUUCUAAAUCACCGUUGUGGCAGAAUUAGAAUAAAACAUCACCUUUUUACAUUAAUUCCACAUCACCGUUGGGCAGAAAUGGAAAAAAC